UGGAGGAAAGUAGGGGAUCGUAAGACCUUGCGCUUUUGGAGCGGCCGAUGUCUGAUUAGCUAGUUGGUGGGGUAAAGGCCUACCAAAGCUUCGAUCAGUAGCUGGUCUGAGAGGACGACCAGCCACACUGGGACUGAGACACGGCCCAGACUCCUACGGGAGGCAGCAGUGGGGAAUUUUGGACAAUGGGCGCAAGCCUGAUCCAGCCAUGCCGCGUGAGUGAAGAAGGCCUUCGGGUUGUAAAGCUCUUUCAGCCGGGAAGAAAAGACCGCGACUAAUAAUCGCGGUUCAUGACGGUACCGGAAGAAGAAGCACCGGCUAACUACGUGCCAGCAGCCGCGGUAAUACGUAGGGUGCGAGCGUUAAUCGGAAUUACUGGGCGUAAAGGGUGCGCAGGCGGUCUUGUAAGUCAGAUGUGA
RNAcentral lists this ribosomal RNA (419 nucleotides) under uncultured ammonia-oxidizing beta proteobacterium. RNAcentral describes it as "bacterial SSU rRNA". It matches the Rfam family "Bacterial small subunit ribosomal RNA", at positions 197 to 597 of the family's 1533-position model. The record is from RNAcentral. Lineage: Bacteria; Pseudomonadati; Pseudomonadota; Betaproteobacteria.